CUACGUAGCUCAGAGUUUGAUCCUGGCUCAGGACGAACGCUGGCGGCGUGCCUAACACAUGCAAGUCGAACGGAGUGUUACGCUGAAUUUGAGAGUAGCUUGCUACAGGAUGAUUCUUGUAACACUUAGUGGCGGACGGGUGAGUAACGCGUGAGCAACCUGCCUUACAGAGGGGGACAACAGUUGGAAACGACUGCUAAUACCGCAUAACAUUCCGAGUGGGCAUCCACAUGGAAUCAAAGGAGCAAUCCGCUGUAAGAUGGGCUCGCGUCCGAUUAGGUAGUUGGUGAGGUAACGGCUCACCAAGCCGACGAUCGGUAGCCGGACUGAGAGGUUGAACGGCCACAUUGGGACUGAGACACGGCCCAG
Molecule: ribosomal RNA, 369 nt
Filed under: uncultured bacterium
Lineage: Bacteria
Description: bacterial SSU rRNA
Rfam family: Bacterial small subunit ribosomal RNA
Source: RNAcentral